Molecule: ribosomal RNA, 515 nt
Filed under: Parnassius tianschanicus chimganus
Lineage: Eukaryota; Metazoa; Arthropoda; Insecta; Lepidoptera; Papilionidae
Description: partial 16S ribosomal RNA
Rfam family: Bacterial large subunit ribosomal RNA (bases 388-515)
Source: RNAcentral
GUCUUUUUGAUUAAUAAUUUAAAGUCUAAUCUGCCCACUGAUAAUAAAUUAAAGGGCUGCAGUAUUUUGACUGUACAAAGGUAGCAUAAUCAUUAGUCUCUUAAUUGGUGACUUGUAUGAAAGAUUUGAUGAAAUAUAUACUGUCUCUUUUUAAUUUAUAAAAUUUAAUUUUUUAGUUAAAAAGCUAAAAUUUGUUUAAAAGACGAGAAGACCCUAUAGAGUUUUAUAUUUAUAUAAAUUAAAAUUUUAUAUAAGAUUUAAAAUUUUAAUUUAUAUAAAUAUUUUAUUGGGGAGAUAGAAAAAUUAAAAUAACUUUUUUUAUAAUUUUACAUUAAUAAAUGAAUAAAUGAUCCGUAAUUUACGAUUAUAAGAUAAAAUUACCUUAGGGAUAACAGCGUAAUUUUUUUUUUUAGUUCAAAUAAGAAAAAGAGUUUGCGACCUCGAUGUUGGAUUAAGAUAAAAUUUAAAUGCAAAAGUUUAAAAUUUUUGAUCUGUUCGAUCAUUAAAAUCUUACA